This 88-nucleotide transfer RNA is filed under the name Streptomyces smaragdinus. RNAcentral's name for it is "Streptomyces sp. RB5 tRNA-Ala". The record is from RNAcentral. Lineage: Bacteria; Bacillati; Actinomycetota; Actinomycetes; Kitasatosporales; Streptomycetaceae.
UCGCCUCCGGCGGGGGGUGUCUGCUGGUGUCGGUUUGCCUCCGGCGGCGGUGGGGUUUCGGUGUCGGUUCGCCUCCGGCGGGGGUGGG